This 471-nucleotide ribosomal RNA is filed under the name uncultured bacterium. RNAcentral describes it as "partial 16S ribosomal RNA". It matches the Rfam family "Bacterial small subunit ribosomal RNA", at positions 28 to 507 of the family's 1533-position model. The record is from RNAcentral.
GACGAACGCUGGCGGCGUGCUUAACACAUGCAAGUCGAACGGAAAGGCCCUGCUUGCAGGGUUCUCGCGUGGCGAACGGGUGAGUAACACGUGGGUGAUCUGCCCCUUUCUUUGGGUUAAGCCUGUUAAACUGGGUCUAAUACUGGCUAGAACCAUGCUGUAGGUGGUUUGGUGGAAAGAUUUUUUCGGUAAGGGAUGAGCUCGCGGCCUAUCAGCUUGUUGGUGGGGUAAUGGCCUACGAAGGCGUCGACGGGUAGCCGGCGUGAGAGGGUGGACGGACACAUUGGGAAUGAGAUACGGGCCAGACGCCGAAGGGAGGCAGCAGUGGGGAAUAUUGCACAAUGGGAGCAAGCCUGAGGCAGCGACGCCGGGUGGGGGAUGACGGCCUUCGGGUUGUAAACUCCUUUCAGCCAGGACGAAGCCACGUUUGGGGUGACGGUAGUGGUAGAAGAAGCACCGGCUAACUACGUG